CCUACGGUGGGCAGCAGUGGGGAAUAUUGGGCAAUGGGCGCAAGCCUGACCCAGCAACGCCGCGAGAAGGAAGAAGGCUUUCGGGUUGUACACUUCUUUUAAGAGGGAAGAGUAGAAGACGGUACCUCUUGAAUAAGCCACGGGUAACUACGUGCCAGCAGCCGCGGUAAUACGUAGGUGGCAAGCGUUGUCCGGAUUUACUGGGUGUAAAGGGCGUGUAGCCGGGCCGGCAAGUCAGAUGUGAAAUCCGAAGGCGCAACCUUGGAACUGCAUUUGAAACUGUUGGUCUUUAGUAUCGGAGAGGCAGGCGGAAUUCCUAGUGUAGCGGUGAAAGGCGUAGAUAGUAGGAGGAACACCAGUGGCGAAGGCGGCCUGCUGGACGACAACUGACGGUGAGGCGCGAAAGCGUGGGGAGCAAACAGGAUUAGAUACCCCAGUAGUC
This 442-nucleotide ribosomal RNA is filed under the name uncultured bacterium. RNAcentral's name for it is "partial 16S ribosomal RNA". It matches the Rfam family "Bacterial small subunit ribosomal RNA", at positions 338 to 795 of the family's 1533-position model. The record is from RNAcentral.